AUUGAACGCUGGCGGCAUGCUUUACACAUGCAAGUCGAACGGCAGCACGAAGAAGCUUGCUUCUUUGGUGGCGAGUGGCGAACGGGUGAGUAAGACAUCGGAACGUACCGUUUAGUGGGGGACAACUUUCAGAAAUGGAAGCUAAUACCGCAUACGAACUACGGUUGAAAGCGGGGGAUUCGCAAGAACCUCGCGCUAAACGAGCGGCCGAUACCUGAUUAGCUAGUUGGUGAGGUAAAGGCUCACCAAGGCAACGAUCAGUAGCUGGUCUGAGAGGACGAUCAGCCACACUGGGACUGAGACACGGCCCAGACUCCUACGGGAGGCAGCAGUGGGGAAUUUUGGACAAUGGGGGCAACCCUGAUCCAGCAAUGCCGCGUGAGUGAAGAAGGCCUUCGGGUUGUAAAGCUCUUUUGUCAGGGAAGAAACAGCAGCUCUAACACAGUUUGCGAAUGACGGUACCUGAAGAAUAAGCACCGGCUAACUACGUGCCAGCCGCCGCGGUAA
RNAcentral lists this ribosomal RNA (507 nucleotides) under uncultured bacterium. Its description in RNAcentral is "partial 16S ribosomal RNA". It matches the Rfam family "Bacterial small subunit ribosomal RNA", at positions 30 to 523 of the family's 1533-position model. The record is from RNAcentral.